CCUGCCCCUGGAAGCAUUGUAAGUGUGGCUGCUGUGUCACAUGUGCCUCAGGAGGUGGCAGAGAGGAGAGAGGUGUUCUGACCUAUGAAUAGUAUAGUAUCAGAAUGAAUAGUAGCCUAACGUU
Small nucleolar RNA from Rattus norvegicus (Norway rat), 124 nucleotides. Ensembl annotates it as small nucleolar RNA SNORA17. Lineage: Eukaryota; Metazoa; Chordata; Mammalia; Rodentia; Muridae. The record is from Ensembl.